This 628-nucleotide long non-coding RNA is filed under the name Anas platyrhynchos platyrhynchos (common mallard). RNAcentral describes it as "lncRNA (ENSAPLG00000028092.1)". The record is from RNAcentral. Lineage: Eukaryota; Metazoa; Chordata; Aves; Anseriformes; Anatidae.
GCUGCCAUGAAAAGAAGAACUCUGCAGUUAUGAACAGGAAGAGGCAGUCUGUAAAACUGAAGGUGGAGGAGAGGUCUUUUCACUCCCGUUAACUUUCAGCCUAUACUAAGGCUCAGCUCUAUCUGCUUGUUCCCUUGACCACCCUGCAACCAGAUGACCACCGAUAGCAGCGCAGAAGAGGGAGCAGAUGAAAUACAACAGUUUAGUGCUUCUGUGCAGCAUUCCUGGUGCAGAGCGGUUGGCAUGUCCCCUGCAGAGGGGACUGAUUGAUCACUGCGUAGCCACAUAUAUAACCUGUUGAGUGAUCCCUCACAAUAAGAGGCACUUUGCAGAAGUUAUUACUCCUGUCGUACCAUUACUUCACUCCUUUGGAACAGGGCCAUUCCCCCCCGACUAAAUAUCAGCAUUCCCGACUAGACAAAUCGUGGUGCAGAUACUCCCCGGGUGAGUCACCAGGCUGCCGCAAUAGGACGGCGGCUCAUCCACAGAUAAGGGGCCCGUAACUCAUGCAGUGUGUCCAGUCAACACUGACUCAGAAACAGGAAUACCCAGGUUGUUCUUGAGUCAGCAUCGGUACGACUCUGUCACUAGGCUGCAUUGGCUUGCCCAGCAUCUUCAUAUAUAAUGA